RNAcentral lists this long non-coding RNA (1347 nucleotides) under Cricetulus griseus (Chinese hamster). RNAcentral's name for it is "lncRNA (ENSCGRG00015029779.1)". The record is from RNAcentral. Lineage: Eukaryota; Metazoa; Chordata; Mammalia; Rodentia; Cricetidae.
UGCUCCUGGGCUUCUGAGCCUCACCCUAUGAUGAGAACUCUUCCCCUAGGAGCUCUUCUGGAAUGCUUGAACUGUGUUGACACCUUAGUUCAUUUGUGUCUGCCUUGUUGGCUCAGGAGAGCUCUUGCCUUGCCCGUCUCCAAACCACAACAAAAGGCUGGAGGAGGAGGCAGCAGCUGCCAUAUGGCAUAAUGAAAAAGAUGGUGACUUCAAAACAGCUGGAUGCUAAUCACACCUCUGCUAGCAUCACAAGAGCCCCUCGAGUGGAAAUGGGGCUGGAUCCUGCACAUCUGGAAGUGACUGGGAAUCCAGUGACUACAUCUCAAACUGCAGAUGUUUUUCCCAUACUGGUGUCAGGACCAAAGGUCAUACUCAUGCAUCUGCUCUAUUUCCAUGCUUUGUAUAUCUGGGUAAACAGUUACUGCUUAAUCAAUGUAGAUGCCCAUGAAGCAAGGCAGUGGCCUGGCAAGGGAGAGCACGCAGAAUCUGAUGAGGCACUCAAAGGCUGCACCAUUGAAAAGGUGGAGGACUACCUAGAAGAGUGGAGCAGCUUCCCCUGAGGACACUCGCAGGGGAGUGGAGACUGGGAAGGGACCAGCAGGGCCUGCAAACAGCACCACAGCUUCCUGCCAGCCACAGAUGUAGCUGGACAGUGUGCUCGACCUGAAAUGCCCAGCAGACAGCCUGGAACAGAAAUCCGGCUGCGACCCAAGCCAGCACACACAGGGAGCCAGAGCUGUCGGCCAGCUCCCUGAGCCCGCACAUGUUGCCUCUGGGAACCAUUAAUCUACUUCUAUCCUUAUGGAUUUGGAGAUUUUGGACAUUUCCUAGAAAUGGACUCAUCACGUUUAUGGAUUUCUGCAGCUGGCUCUUUUCAUCGCAUCUUAUGUAAUAAUGUGUUUGCACGUUUCGCCAUGUGCUAGUAGCUUAUUCAAUUUCAUGUCUGGGCCACACCACACCAUAUGGAGAUACUGCCCUUUAUUUAGCCACUCAUCCAUCAAGGGGCAGUAGAGCUGCCCCCACUUUGAGGGAAAGGCAAUGUGUUACUGUCUGUCCAGCUACAUGAGGCGCCACAAGCUGAUUUUCUGUAAAAGGGUGAGCAGGACUGUAUAUUCUGACCAGCAAUGCGUGAAAGUUUCACUCCCCUCCAUUCUUGCCAACAUUUUUGUCCACCUUUUAGGAAACCAGUGAACAUUAAGUGGUGUCUCCUGGUUCUCACUGCUUCCUAAAUGGCUCUGAUGGCGAGUUUCUUUUCACCUGGUUUGGGAUGUUUACAUCCAAUCUUCUCUGGAAAAACACUUAAAUUCUUUGUCCCUUUAGCUGGAAGUUUUUCUUUCUAUUGUUGAG